AGCUUGCUCCGCUGACGAGUGGCGAACGGGUGAGUAAUGCAUCGGAACGUGCCGUGUAGUGGGGGAUAACGUAGCGAAAGUUACGCUAAUACCGCAUACGCCCUGAGGGGGAAAGUGGGGGACCGCAAGGCCUCACGCUAUACGAGCGGCCGAUGUCGGAUUAGCUAGUUGGUAGGGUAAAGGCCUACCAAGGCGACGAUCCGUAGCGGGUCUGAGAGGAUGAUCCGCCACACUGGGACUGAGACACGGCCCAGACUCCUACGGGAGGCAGCAGUGGGGAAUUUUGGACAAUGGGCGCAAGCCUGAUCCAGCCAUGCCGCGUGAGUGAAGAAGGCCUUCGGGUUGUAAAGCUCUUUCAGACGGAAAGAAAUCGGUGUGUCUAAUACACGCACUGGAUGACGGUACCGUAAGAAGAAGCACCGGCUAACUACGUGCCAGCAGCCGCGGUAAUACGUAGGGUGCGAGCGUUAAUCGGAAUUACUGGGCGUAAAGCGUGCGCAGGCGGUUAUGUAAGACAGAUGUGAAAUCCCCGGGCUCAACCUGGGAACUGCGUUUGUGACUGCAUAACUAGAGUACGGCAGAGGGAGGUGGAAUUCCACGUGUGGCAGUGAAAUGCGUAGAGAUGUGGAGGAACACCGAUGGCGAAGGCAGCCUCCUGGGCCAGUACUGACGCUCAUGCACGAAAGCGUGGGGAGCAAACGGGAUUAGAUACCCUGGUAGUCCACGCCCUAAACGAUGUCAACUA
This 745-nucleotide ribosomal RNA is filed under the name uncultured bacterium. RNAcentral's name for it is "bacterial SSU rRNA". It matches the Rfam family "Bacterial small subunit ribosomal RNA", at positions 77 to 818 of the family's 1533-position model. The record is from RNAcentral.